RNAcentral lists this ribosomal RNA (351 nucleotides) under uncultured Fusibacter sp. Its description in RNAcentral is "bacterial SSU rRNA". It matches the Rfam family "Bacterial small subunit ribosomal RNA", at positions 1031 to 1382 of the family's 1533-position model. Lineage: Bacteria; Bacillati; Bacillota; Clostridia; Eubacteriales; Fusibacteraceae. The record is from RNAcentral.
GAGACAGGUGGUGCAUGGUUGUCGUCAGCUCGUGUCGUGAGAUGUUGGUUAAGUCCCGCAACGAGCGCAACCUUGUGUUUUAGUUGCAAACAGGUCAAGCUGUGCACUCUAGACAGACUGCCGUGGACAACACGGAGGAAGGUGGGGAUGACGUCAAAUCAUCAUGCCCCUUAUGAUCUGGGCUACACACGUGCUACAAUGGCCGGUACAACGGGCAGCGAAGGAGCGAUCCGGAGCGAAUCCUAAAAAGCCGGUCCCAGUUCGGAUUGCAGGCUGAAACUCGCCUACAUGAAGUUGGAGUUGCUAGUAAUCGCGAAUCAGAAUGUCGCGGUGAAUGCGUUCCCGGGUCUU